CCUACGGGAGGCAGCAGUGGGGAAUAUUGGACAAUGGGCGAAAGCCUGAUCCAGCCAUGCCGCGUGUGUGAAGAAGGCCUUCGGGUUGUAAAGCACUUUUGUCCGGAAAGAAAAGCACUGGGUUAAUACCCUGGUGUCAUGACGGUACCGGAAGAAUAAGCACCGGCUAACUUCGUGCCAGCAGCCGCGGUAAUACGAAGGGUGCAAGCGUUACUCGGAAUUACUGGGCGUAAAGCGUGCGUAGGCGGUUUGUUAAGUCUAAUGUGAAAGCCCUGGGCUCAACCUGGGAAUGGCAUUGGAUACUGGCAACCUAGAAUGUGGUAGAGGGUGGCGGAAUUCCCGGUGUAGCAGUGAAAUGCGUAGAUAUCGGGAGGAACAUCCGUGGCGAAGGCGGCCACCUGGACCAACAUUGACGCUGAGGCACGAAAGCGUGGGGAGCAAACAGGAUUAGAUACCCUGGUAGUCCACGCCCUAAACGAUGCGAACUGGAUGUUGGGCUCAAUUGAGAGCUCAGUAUCGAAGCUAACGCGUUAAGUUCGCCGCCUGGGAAGUACGGUCGCAAGACUGAAACUCAAAGGAAUUGACGG
RNAcentral lists this ribosomal RNA (587 nucleotides) under uncultured bacterium. RNAcentral's name for it is "bacterial SSU rRNA". It matches the Rfam family "Bacterial small subunit ribosomal RNA", at positions 338 to 916 of the family's 1533-position model. The record is from RNAcentral.